This is a long non-coding RNA of Sphaerodactylus townsendi, 1520 nucleotides long. RefSeq lists it as uncharacterized. The record is from RefSeq and is a predicted model, not a curated record. Lineage: Eukaryota; Metazoa; Chordata; Lepidosauria; Squamata; Sphaerodactylidae. The transcript is spliced from 2 exons.
GUCCGCGCGCCAGGCAGGCAGCCUCCCCGCUCAAGACAGCGAUCGCGAACCCUGCCCAAUUUCUGGCGCACCCUCACCGUCGCCCCUCUUCACCUCAGCCGCCGCUCCCUCCGCCUCAGCCGCGGCGACCGUCUCGUGGCGCCCCUCGCCUCCACGCACCGCGGAUCGGCACGGGACCAUGCAGGAUGUUUUAGAAUAUUUUCAUUUGAGCAACUUUUAAGAAGAUUUCCUAUUCAAGCACUGAAAAACAUUUGAUAUUAAGAAAAACUGAUGGUAAAAUAUUGAAGAGGGUGUAUGGAACAGGCUUACGAGGAGCAGAAAACAGUACUGUUUUUCCAUAUCUUUUGCUCAUCUGGGUGUUUGCUUCCUUCUAAUACAGCUUAGAGAGAGAAUGUGCUGUCUUGUAUCAGCCUGUGACACAUUGGAGAAAAAUGUAUGUUGAUUUAACAACCCACGCUGUGCCUCUGGGGAAAAAAAUGGGUUUGGGAAUGUAAUAAUUUGUUUUGUCCUUGUUUAUAAUGUUUCUUACAACAGCAACCAGUCUCUCUCAUUUGGAACAGAUCAAACUUUAUGUUAUAAGAAUCUUUGGCUGUUUUUGGUACCAGGAAAGAGGGUAUCCUUGGCUUGUGCUAUGAAGAGCAGCUUAGUUUGCAGAAAUCAGCUGAUAAACUUCUUCACAGCAUGCAGUUGAGCCUUAAGUGUGCAUAAAGCACCGCCAAGUCGCAGCCAACUUAGCUAACCCUGUAGGAUUUUCAAGGCAAGGGAAUAAAUUGGGUGGUUUGUCAUUGUCUUCCUCUGCAUAGCAACCCUGCUGUUCCUCGGCGGUCUCCAAUCCAAAUACCAACCAGGACCAACCCUGCUUAGCUUCUGAGAUCUGAUGAGAUCAGGCAAGCCUGGGCCAUCCAGGUCAGGGCACAAAACACUGUGGACAUUUGCUAAUAAUAAUGUUGAAUUGUGGACACUUGAGUCUUUUCAGCUGCUAAAGUUUAAAGACCACGUUACUGUUGAUAACCUUUAGGGAACAGUAAAAAUUUUUGGCAGCCAUUGUUAUAAACUCCUUGCCACUUUCUUGUGUACCUCCUGUAAGCACACUACAUUAUGAAUUUAUUGUGUUGCGUAAUAAGUUUUUACAAGAAUAGAGUGUAAUGGCACCAUGCAGUGAUGUACAAUAAGCGCAUAAAAGGUGUGCAGAUGACUGAUUAAACAACAACAACAUUUGCUGCUUGAACAUGUCUCAGGUUAUAUUCCAUUUCUUCAGGGCAAAGUUACCCAAGAGUGACUCGGAGUACAAUCCUAAGCAGGUCUACUCAGAACCCUACUGAGAUAUAUUCUGUGGGGCUUACUCCCAGGAAAGUGUGCUUAGGAUUGUACUGCCAGGCUGUCUUUGCUCCACGCCUUGAUGCCAGCUACAUGAUAGCUGCUAGAGUUGAGUAAUUGUCUCCUGAAAUAUAUAUUGCGCAAAAUUCAUUUGUAUUACUAGGGUUAUUUUUGUGAUUUUAUAAACCUUCUGUAAACAUUAA